Molecule: transfer RNA, 75 nt
Filed under: Nanobdellota archaeon
Lineage: Archaea; Nanobdellati; Nanobdellota
Description: tRNA-Arg
Rfam family: tRNA
About the family: Transfer RNA (tRNA) molecules are approximately 80 nucleotides in length.
Source: RNAcentral
GGGCCUUUAGCGUAGUCCGGAUAACGCGUUCGGCUUCGGACCGAAAGAUCGGGGGUUCAAAUCCCUCAGGGCCCA